Molecule: long non-coding RNA, 269 nt
Organism: Humulus lupulus (European hop)
Lineage: Eukaryota; Viridiplantae; Streptophyta; Magnoliopsida; Rosales; Cannabaceae
Exons: 3
Source: RefSeq, a predicted model, not a curated record
UCUCCCUCUCUCAUUCACUCAUCUGAUUUUUGAAGACCUCUCAAAGUGUUCCCUCAAUAUUCAACCUCAAGAACACCAAGGAAAACUUGGAGGCUAAGUCUUGGUCUAGGAAGUAUUUUCCCUAAGUUGGUUAGGGUUUUUGAAAGGUUUUGGAGGAGCCAAAGCUAAUAGGAAGGUCCAAACCUUAAGCAAGAACACCAAAGAGUAUUGGCUAAGCGUAACUGGACUGAACGUUGGAGGGUGAAAACCUGCUGAGCGCUAAGUACUCC